ACGGAGCUGACAGCCAUCCCGCGUGAGGAAGAAGGCCCUACGGGUUGUAAACUUCUUUUCUGUUUGAAGAAUAAGCCCGUCGUGACGGGUGAUGCCGGUAGGACAGGAAUAAGCAUCGGCUAACUCCGUGCCAGCAGCCGCGGUAAUACGGAGGAUGCAAGCGUUAUCCGGAUUUAUUGGGUUUAAAGGGUGCGCAGGUGGUCAAAUAAGUCAGUGGUGAAAGUCUGCCGCUUAACGGUAGGAUUGCCAUUGAUACUGUUUGACUUGAAUAUGGAUGAGGUAGGCGGAAUGUGUAGUGUAGCGGUGAAAUGCUUAGAUAUUACACAGAACACCGAUUGCGAAGGCAGCUUACUAAUCCAUGAUUGACGCUGAGGCACGAAAGCGUGGGGAUCAAACAGGAUUAGAUACCCUGGUAGUCCACGCUGUAAACGAUGAUCACUCGCUGUUUGCGAUACACAGUAAGCGGCUAAGCGAAAGCGUUAAGUGAUCCACCUGGGGAGUACGAUCGCAAGGUUGAAACUCAAAGAAAUUUGACG
Molecule: ribosomal RNA, 536 nt
Filed under: uncultured Bacteroidota bacterium
Lineage: Bacteria; Pseudomonadati; Bacteroidota
Description: bacterial SSU rRNA
Rfam family: Bacterial small subunit ribosomal RNA
Source: RNAcentral